CGUCCGCAGGAUUCGUUAAGAGACAACCAGCAGGGUUUGGACGGUUUGAGAAGAAUAAUAAUAAUAACAACAAACUCUCUCACUCUCACGUUGGCUUUUCUGUUUCCUGGUCCGACACAGCUGGUAUUUCACAGUGAAGAAGGGCACGUUGUCUCAAACGUCAGCGUUGCCGCAACGGAACAAAUUUAAAUCGAGUCGAUUUCGAUUGCCAGCUUUCGGGGCGACAAACAGGUGCUGCGUGACGCUGGCAGUGUUGACCCAGAUUCACAACGGAGUGUCCUGCAAUUCUGGGAUCGGUGUUUGCGUCAAACACAGAGAAGGACAAACAGAGAUCAGGCGGCGACCUCAGGGGGACAAAUACCUGUAAGAUCCCCCAGUCGUUGGAGCUGUUGGCGGACACGAUGAGGCCCUCCUCCUGGAAGGUCUUGAACCUCAGCGACAGUUUGAAAUCCCGGUUGUCCUCGUCCAUCCCGUGAAGGUACCUCAGUUGGAUGAGAUGUCAGACACACACACACGCGUACGUACGCACCGUUACAGGGGCAGACGCUCUCCCAGGUGUGUCUGGGGGUGAUGUAACCAGCUCUGGCAGUGGCAAAAUGGCCCAGUCUCUCUCCUGUCAGCCGGACAGCGUUCCUGCAGCCUCGUGGUGGACAGCUGGUACCCAGACACCCAUUGUGGCUCACCCUGAGGAUGCUCAGGCCCAGAGACUCCUCGAUG
Long non-coding RNA from Xiphias gladius (swordfish), 717 nucleotides. RefSeq lists it as uncharacterized. The record is from RefSeq and is a predicted model, not a curated record. The transcript is spliced from 3 exons. Lineage: Eukaryota; Metazoa; Chordata; Actinopteri; Istiophoriformes; Xiphiidae.